UGUUUAAUCUUCAAAACAUUUAUAGGUGUCUCCUAAAUUAUUCAUCUGCAGCUCCCAUGUUUUAGGAAGUUAGCCAUCAACAUCAGCAACCAGUCAUGAAGCAAGUGACCCGAGAUCAUACUGGUCACUGAUAUGGGAUGUGAAAGAGGAAAUAUACAGAGGAUGGAAGUGCGGGCAGACAAAAAAAAAAAAAAAAAAAAAAAAAAAAAAAAGGAAGGAAGGAAGGACAUGCUGCAGAGAAAAAGGAUGCAGACACAUAUCCUGACUUGGCAGGUGGUGAAAGCAGUUGAAGAAGAGUUGUUGGACACAGGACCCACCCAUCAGAAAAUAAUGCAAGUGUAACAUAAAAUAACUAUAAUUAUGUGUAGUAAAAAAUAAACUUUGGAUUAUACUUUCA
Bombina bombina (fire-bellied toad) is the source of this 397-nucleotide long non-coding RNA. RefSeq lists it as uncharacterized. The record is from RefSeq and is a predicted model, not a curated record. NCBI's taxonomy places the organism in Eukaryota, Metazoa, Chordata, Amphibia, Anura, Bombinatoridae. The transcript is spliced from 2 exons.